UUGUUUAAAAAUGUUAGCACAUAUACUAAAAUUGGAAUGAUUUAAAGAAGAUCAGUAUGGCCCCUAUGUAAGGAUGGCAUGCAUAUUUGCGAAGCGUUCAUAUAUAUU
This is a small nuclear RNA of Pipistrellus kuhlii (Kuhl's pipistrelle), 108 nucleotides long. The record is from RefSeq and is a predicted model, not a curated record. NCBI's taxonomy places the organism in Eukaryota, Metazoa, Chordata, Mammalia, Chiroptera, Vespertilionidae.